CAGUAGCCGCGGUAAUACGAAGGGUGCAAGCGUUACUCGGAAUUACUGGGCGUAAAGCGUGCGUAGGUGGUGGUUUAAGUCCGUUGUGAAAGCCCUGGGCUCAACCUGGGAAUUGCAGUGGAUACUGGGUCACUAGAGUGUGGUAGAGGAUAGUGGAAUUUCCCGUGUAGCAGUGAAAUGCGUAGAGAUCGGAAGGAACAUCUGUGGCGAAGGCGACCACCUGGACUGAUACUGACACUGAGGUGCGAAAGCGUGGGGAGCAAACAGGAUUAGAUACCCCCGUAGUCCCUGUCUCUUAUAA
Molecule: ribosomal RNA, 301 nt
Filed under: uncultured bacterium
Lineage: Bacteria
Description: partial 16S ribosomal RNA
Rfam family: Bacterial small subunit ribosomal RNA
Source: RNAcentral